This 758-nucleotide ribosomal RNA is filed under the name uncultured Prevotella sp. Its description in RNAcentral is "bacterial SSU rRNA". It matches the Rfam family "Bacterial small subunit ribosomal RNA", at positions 28 to 776 of the family's 1533-position model. Lineage: Bacteria; Pseudomonadati; Bacteroidota; Bacteroidia; Bacteroidales; Prevotellaceae. The record is from RNAcentral.
GAUGAACGCUAGCUACAGGCUUAACACAUGCAAGUCGAGGGGCAGCAUGGAAGAAGCUUGCUUCUUCUGAUGGCGACCGGCGCACGGGUGCGUAACGCGUAUCAAACCUGCCUCAUACUCGGGGAUAGCCUUGCGAAAGUAAGAUUAAUACCCGAUGUUGUUAUGUUUCCGCAUGGUGAUAUAACCAAAGAUUUAUCGGUAUGAGAUGGUGAUGCGUCCGAUUAGGUAGUAGGCGGGGUAACGGCCCACCUAGCCAUCGAUCGGUAGGGGUUCUGAGAGGAAGGUCCCCCACACUGGAACUGAGACACGGUCCAGACUCCUACGGGAGGCAGCAGUGAGGAAUAUUGGUCAAUGGACGGAAGUCUGAACCAGCCAAGUAGCGUGCAGGAUGACGGCCCUCCGGGUUGUAAACUGCUUUUAGUUGGGAAUAAAAAGAGGGACGUGUCCCUUCUUGUAUGUACCUUCAGAAAAAGGACCGGCUAAUUCCGUGCCAGCAGCCGCGGUAAUACGGAAGGUCCAGGCGUUAUCCGGAUUUAUUGGGUUUAAAGGGAGCGUAGGCGGAUUAUUAAGUCAGUGGUGAAAGACGGUGGCUCAACCAUCGUUAGCCAUUGAAACUGGUAGUCUUGAGUGCAGACAGGGAUGCUGGAACUCGUGGUGUAGCGGUGAAAUGCUUAGAUAUCACGAUGAACUCCGAUCGCGAAGGCAGGUGUCCGGGCUGCAACUGACGCUGAGGCUCGAAAGUGUGGGUAUCAAACAGG